RNAcentral lists this long non-coding RNA (1721 nucleotides) under Dermacentor andersoni. RNAcentral's name for it is "uncharacterized LOC126539252". The record is from RNAcentral. Lineage: Eukaryota; Metazoa; Arthropoda; Arachnida; Ixodida; Ixodidae.
GCGCAUACCCAAUGGGCCCGUGUUGCCUGCCCGGCAACACCCUUGUCUCAACGAAGAAAAAUAGCGCGGCUGAAUUUACAAUAAAAGCUUGAAGAUAUAUCCAGACGCAUAUCUAGCAACGACGUCCAGUAUGAGUAUCAGCUCGUACAAAUCACCUUCAUGCCAUUCAGCCUUGCACGCCCAAGGGUGGACACAUUAAAAUGUCCAUGUCUUAUUCGAACCAUUGUUGGAUGGAACAGACUCGACGCCAAUGCGUUCACAGCAUGCCACUCAGCCGAAACGUUCCAGCAGAGGCUGGAAAUGCUUUUUGUGUAAAUGAGUCUCAAGUGUUCUCCUCCCACUCUGUAACAGCCCGUAAGGGAUUAAAAGUAUUGGAAAUAAAACAGCAGCCAGCAGACGACUUAGUGGCCCGAGCUAGUAGACAACUUUGGUCAAUGGGUGAAAGAGGUUAUAGAUAUACAAACUUAAAAGUGGGUGUGCGACGUCCGUAGGAUGAUUAAAGUGGGGAAGGGUGUUGUGAUUUGAAAGAAAAUAAUGUUACUAUAGGUCGAUCGUAUACGAAUAAAAAGUUUGAUAAUUUUACGUGAAGAUGUAGCAGAUGCCAGAAAAAAAAUUAUCGUCGGCUGGGAAAGUUUCUGCUCGCCAUCACUAUGCUCCCUUACACCAGCAACGACGACAACAAUGAUGGUCAUAAUGUAAUUGCUGUUACAAUACAUGUGAGUGUACAACAACAACAACAACAACAAAAGAGAAGCCACAAGGACUGUGACGCCUGCGAAUGGCGGCAGCGGCAACGUUACAUUCGUGCGAAAAUUCUGUUUAUCCCAUCACGACACGGUGAUGAGAUGGGUAAUGAAGCAUGCCAACAAUGUAACUCACAGAAUGCGGUAUACGUUAGCCACUUACUCAAGCUAUCAGUUGACAAGGAGCGUCUCGUUCUCAGCUGAUGGUUCUCUCCCUGCCCGUCCGAUCCAUCGAAGCACAGAAGGAGACCGAUGUGAAACCAGGCCUGCGCAAAUAAAAAUCCAGUAGUGGAGUACGACGACUCAGUUGCGUGAACAUUUAAAUUGGCGGGCACGACAACAUUGGUUACCUAAAGAGAAAAGCAGAUGGUGAAAGUGGACGCGAAUUCUAACUGUUCCUCGUACAACUGCAUCCCCCCCUCUCUUUUUUUCAGCGUGCAGGAUCAUAACAGGAUGGUCUGCGCAAACAAAUAUCGCUACAAUCACCUGUGCAUCGAGUUUCCUGAAAAAUGUAACAGAUCCCCUGUUUGUUUGACUGGCAUAAUGUGAAAGUGUUGUCGCACUUUCAGGAUGAUUAAGCUGGUUAUCGAUGGUGUUUAGACUGGGCCAGACUGUAGGCAUCCGCUAAAUUUCUAACGUAAAUAAUGCCAGAGGUUGGGGGAAGCCUGACAUUCUGUUUCGACUUUUUGUAGAAUGGCCUGCAGGUUGAACGGUGAACCAUCGAGUUUGAAAACAUUUGAACGCACUCAUUUCGGCGCCAACACGGCUUGUAUAGACAGCUAGCGCCAUCUAUGUAGUGAAAAGGAAAGGUACCCGUAGUACUGCGAGUAAUUACUACUCGAAAUUGCUGCGUAAUAUGGGGUGAACAAAAGUUAUGUGAAUACUUAUUGACACUAAUUACUUAUAUAGAUAAACUCACAACAUAAGUGUGCGAUUGAGGACAUUUGUGCAAUAAAGGGUAUUAUGCACAAAAUUUCU